CUCUUGGUUGGAUGUCCUCUGAAACCUAAGCUAUUACAGAUUCUCAGGGAGAUGAGCCCCCAGCUCUGACAUUAAUCUGUUUAAAGCGCUUUGCAAAGGAGCUCAAUGAUGUCACCCCUGUCUUGCAGAUGAGGACAACAAGGUACCAACAGCUCAGCAGGACCAUCUGCCCUGGAGGAUGCCCCACGCCCACUCAGCAUACAGCUAGUUUUGUAGAACAGUUGCUCUUGCAUGGGCCCUAGAAUUCUCCUAGAGCACUGACAGCCUCUGAAGGAAAAUAAUAGACUAUGGCUACAAAGAUCUCAUUAGACAGGAGUGCUCAGAGUGCUGGAACAUGCACUUUUACUGAUGUUGCCAAUGCCAAGGCAGUGCCUGAAGAUGAUGGAGAAACAAGCCAGAAAAAUACAGGAUGCAUCCAACAAGGGAGCAAGCAAACACCUGGAAUAGUUCAACUUGGCUGCUGUUAUAAAUAUCGAGGAAGAAAUUGUAGGGCCUGCUUGAAGCUGAGGGUCAGAGAUCAAAUGACUGUCGCUUCCCAGCACCUGUUCUUUGCUGUUGGUUACAAGCUGCUCCUGAGAUCUCUCAGUUAACCUGUAUCUGUCGCAUGGUCUGCAAAGGAGCUAAAAGCCAUGAGGGGGGAACUGUGGGAGUUAAGAAUUUUCAAGACAUUUGGAGAAAAGGAGUUAAGGGCAAACAGCAGAGGACAAAAUGGAGUCGGGGGAAGUCUCAGUCUCUUCAAGAAUGGAUGAGCCUUUGGAUUUCCUUAGUACUGUGAGAGCUGUAGCCAUGAUAACUGUGCAGCAGGAAGCUCAUCACCUGUAGAGGAGCCCAAAAUGAUGUUCAUCAUAUCCAAGAGGUUGUUUCAUUUCCAUUUUUCCCUUUUAAGUUAUAAAAUGCAUGCACUGUUCCCGUAACUUCCAUGUUUUGUAGUGUUAAACCUGAAAAACGCAUAAUAUGGCCUACCGAGAAGACAUUAUCAUUGCUUCACCUUUGUUUAAGCACCACAUGGAGGAUGCUGUUCUUUUUCUGUUCCUUGAGGGGGGGGGUAUUGUUUUGCUUUGUUGGGUUUUUUGCUUGACCUGUUCCUGUAUUUUUCUGCCUUAGAUUUUGUCCCCCUGCUCCCCCCCUUUGCUGAAUGUUAACCCAACUAUGUUCAGCGUGACCCUAUAAUACUGAAUUAGGUAAGCAGAAUAGGCAUAAGGAACUUAGUUGUGGGCUGCAUCUGGGCAAGCUGCUUGCACAUGGCCUUGAAACCAACACCAGCUCCUAACACUUGGUUAAGAGCUUCAGGGGAACAUGGGCAAUUAAAGUUACUGUGGCACCACAAGAGUUCCAGCUAAUUAGGCUCCCACCUCAUUGUAAAUAGGCUACUAUUAACAUGGGUGAGGGCUGUGUUUACUGGUUGUGUUUUGUAAGCUGCGUUUCUAAAGCCAUAUCAUUGGAAACAUGGAAAGAUGCUAUAGGGAUCUCACUGCUAAUGAAUGUUGUGACAAAAGAGAACUCUGUUGAUUCUGUUCCCUCCUUCUGGAAAGAUUUAGCAACAAUAAGUUAGAAGAAACUGCAUGUGCUGCCCUCAAAAACCUUGUUGGGCUGGACUCUUGGGCUAAGACUCUACAGGACAGGUUUCUUUGGAAGUGGUUCUCAACCUGAGAUUGCAACCCCAUGUGCACUGUACUUAUUUAAUUCCUUGGCCCUUAUCGCUGUGGUAUGUGAGCACUUCACAAUGAUUAAUAAAUUUAAUUCUCACUACCUGUGAGGUAGAGAAGCUGUUCCCCCUAUUUUACAGAUGGGGAACUAAGACACAGAUUAUAUGAAGUGACAUGCAGUCACACAUCAGGAACUGAACCCAAGUCUCAGGUACUAGUGAAGUGAUUUUCAACCAGAAAGUCAGGAAAAGCAGUCAGAGCUGUCAUGAGGCACUUUGUCUUCUGUUGUAACUGAAAGCAAAGAGAAUUUCAGUUGCCCUCUCCCCACAAAGCUAACUCUUCAUAAUCGAGCUGUCAGCCCUUAGAAACACACAGAUAAAUCACAGUCUUAAAACUGUCA
Long non-coding RNA from Gavialis gangeticus (Gharial), 2046 nucleotides. RefSeq lists it as uncharacterized. Lineage: Eukaryota; Metazoa; Chordata; Crocodylia; Gavialidae. The transcript has 3 exons. The record is from RefSeq and is a predicted model, not a curated record.